This 446-nucleotide ribosomal RNA is filed under the name uncultured bacterium. Its description in RNAcentral is "partial 16S ribosomal RNA". It matches the Rfam family "Bacterial small subunit ribosomal RNA", at positions 338 to 795 of the family's 1533-position model. The record is from RNAcentral.
CCUACGGGAGGCUGCAGUCGAGAAUCAUUCACAAUGGGGGAAACCCUGAUGGUGCGACGCCGCGUGGGGGAAUGAAGGUCUUCGGAUUGUAAACCCCUGUCAUGUGGGAGCAAAUUAAAAAGAUAGUACCACACGAGGAAGAGACGGCUAACUCUGUGCCAGCAGCCGCGGUAAUACAGAGGUCUCAAGCGUUGUUCGGAAUCACUGGGCGUAAAGCGUGCGUAGGCUGUUUCGUAAGUCGUGUGUGAAAGGCGCGGGCUCAACCCGCGGACGGCACAUGAUACUGCGAGACUAGAGUAAUGGAGGGGGAACCGGAAUUCUUGGUGUAGCAGUGAAAUGCGUAGAUAUCGAGAGGAACACUCGUGGCGAAGGCGGGUUCCUGGACAUUAACUGACGCUGAGGCACGAAGGCCAGGGGAGCGAAAGGGAUUAGAUACCCCGGUAGUC